UCCUUGAAGGGUCUAGUCACAUAAGA
RNAcentral lists this non-coding RNA (26 nucleotides) under Homo sapiens (human). Lineage: Eukaryota; Metazoa; Chordata; Mammalia; Primates; Hominidae. The record is from RNAcentral.